Long non-coding RNA from Oncorhynchus gorbuscha (pink salmon), 707 nucleotides. RefSeq lists it as uncharacterized. The record is from RefSeq and is a predicted model, not a curated record. The transcript is spliced from 2 exons. NCBI's taxonomy places the organism in Eukaryota, Metazoa, Chordata, Actinopteri, Salmoniformes, Salmonidae.
GAAAGGUGGGUGGGGUUAACACUAUUUACAUGAGAAAGACCCCUGUUUCCCCCUCUGAUACAUCUUAUCAGCCCAAUGUAUUCGGUUCCAAAAUGUACUUGCAGGCGUUUAAGCCCUCACAUACUGUACAAGCCAAGGCUAGUGUAUCUUCUGUACAGGUCUCAAUUAUGUUUGAGAUGAUGCAGAAGAAGAGAAACGAGCCAGAACACAAGGGGCUCUUUCUAUUCCUCUUCCACACAGGGAGCGAGGGAGUGUUUUCUCAACCCCUUUCUCCCUGCAUGUCUGACACCCCAGGAGCACAAACCUGGGACAUGUAUUUCUCCUUUCUGUUGCGAUUCUGGAGAACAUGAAACAGUGACUUAACACUUGUCGUUCCUAACUUUCUUUUUACCUGUCUUUUCAAAACAUUCCAUAUCAUCUGGUUAAAAAAGCAAAUGAUAUGACUGCUGAGGGGAAAUGUUAAUGGUGAUUUUUUUUUCUUUUUUUUUUUUCUUCUAUUAAACCUCAGGUCAAUCUGUAGCAUGUGUUGAUGCUGCAUUCCUCAGAAAUGCAAGAGCUGAUGUUUGAGGCUGUUUGGUGAAGGUUAAAAGCUGAAUUGGAAUUGUCAUGUCAUUAGCUCCAUAAAGGGAAGUAGUUCUCUUAGAUUAUAACUUUGUGUAACCCAUAUCAGGCUGAAUAAAUAAAUGAAGUGUUUAUCUAAAAUUGUA